GAACGCACCUUUCGGGGUGAGUGGCAGACGGGUGAGUAACGCGUGGGAACAUACCCUUCGGUACGGAACAACUUGGGGAAACUUGAGCUAAUACCGUAUACGGCCUAUGGGCGAAAGAUUGUAUCGCCGAAGGAUUGGCCCGCGUCCGAUUAGCUUGUUGGUGGGGUAAUGGCCUACCAAGGCGACGAUCGGUAGCUGGUCUGAGAGGAUGGCCAGCCACAUUGGGACUGAGACACGGCCCAAACUCCUACGGGAGGCAGCAGUGGGGAAUAUUGGACAAUGGGCGCAAGCCUGAUCCAGCCAUGCCGCGUGAGCGAUGAAGGCCUUAGGGUUGUAAAGCUCUUUCGCACGCGACGAUAAUGACGGUAGCGUGAGAAGAAGCCCCGGCUAACUUCGUG
Molecule: ribosomal RNA, 398 nt
Filed under: uncultured bacterium
Lineage: Bacteria
Description: bacterial SSU rRNA
Rfam family: Bacterial small subunit ribosomal RNA
Source: RNAcentral